This 253-nucleotide ribosomal RNA is filed under the name uncultured bacterium. RNAcentral's name for it is "partial 16S ribosomal RNA". It matches the Rfam family "Bacterial small subunit ribosomal RNA", at positions 524 to 776 of the family's 1533-position model. The record is from RNAcentral.
UACGUAGGGUGCAAGCGUUGUCCGGAAUUAUUGGGCGUAAAGAGCUCGUAGGCGGUCUGUCGCGUCUGCUGUGAAAACUCAGGGCUUAACCCUGAGCUUGCAGUGGGUACGGGCAGACUAGAGUGCGGUAGGGGAGACUGGAAUUCCUGGUGUAGCGGUGAAAUGCGCAGAUAUCAGGAAGAACACCCGUGGCUAAGGCGGUUCUCUAGUACGGUACUGACGCUGAGACGCGAAAGCGUGGGGAGCGAACAGG